Eptesicus fuscus (big brown bat) is the source of this 617-nucleotide long non-coding RNA. RefSeq lists it as uncharacterized. Lineage: Eukaryota; Metazoa; Chordata; Mammalia; Chiroptera; Vespertilionidae. The transcript has 2 exons. The record is from RefSeq and is a predicted model, not a curated record.
GCGGGGGAAGCGGUCACAGGACAAAACGGUAUCAUUUCAGGUCUAAGGGGGAGCAACAACGGAGCUUAAAAGCAAAUGUCCGCACUGGGGUGACGGCUAGUUUCUACCACCUAGCGUCCCUGGUAACGGGAAUCUAACGGGGAAAAAAGACGGGCCCGCUUCCAACACGCUACCCCCGGGGGCCGCGGCUGGGAAGGAAGGAUACAGGCUACUUCUGCCGGGAUCUGCAGUCGUUUUCCUGGCUAUUUCCCUACCUAAAAGGCUUACAUUUCAAAGGCUCUGAAGGGUGCCCGCCUUGCUGCCAGAUUCUGGAAAUAGACCAUCAUAGCAUCUGUGGCCUGGAAAGAAGUUCAGAUUUAGCCUAGUAAUCUCCUGGGAAGAUAUGCCAAAAGAGAUACUGAAGUUGUUCCAGGAGGUAUGGAAAAUUGAAUGGGUUUUUGAGCCAUCAGUGUAAUGAAAAUUUGAAAAAAGGCUGAACUCUUCUGUUGGAACCCAUUAUAAAAGUACAUAUAAAUUUCGGACUGUAUUUCAGCCAGGUUUUAUUUUGGUGGAAAAAUUCCCAGAUUGGAAGCAGAAUGUACAAACCAAAUAAAGAUCACUCAUCCAUCAUUCAAAUA